This 68-nucleotide transfer RNA is filed under the name human gut metagenome. It matches the Rfam family "tRNA". From Rfam's summary of the family: Transfer RNA (tRNA) molecules are approximately 80 nucleotides in length. The record is from RNAcentral. RNAcentral also lists the same sequence under 1 other name.
CAGAUAUAGUUUAGUGGUAGAACGUGAGCUUCCCAAGCUUAUGAUGCGAGUUCGAUUCUCGUUGUCUG